UCCUAGUUAACCUAGGCAGUCUCAUUAGAGUUCCCAUCUUAUAUGUUGGCAACUAAUGAUAAGGGUUGCGCUCGUUGCGGGACUUAACCCAACAUCUCACGACACGAGCUGACGACAGCCAUGCAGCACCUGUGUUCCCGUUCCCUUUCGGGCACAGCCGGGUUUCCCCAGCCUCCAGGACAUGUCAAGCCUAGGUAAGGUUCUUCGCGUUGCGUCGAAUUAAACCACAUGCUCCACCGCUUGUGCGGGCCCCCGUCAAUUCCUUUGAGUUUCAACCUUGCGGUCGUACUCCCCAGGCGGGGUACUUCCUGCGUUAGCGCCGGCACCCAGAGGGUCGCUCCCCCAGGCACCUAGUACCCAUCGUUUACGGCGUGGACUAC
Molecule: unclassified non-coding RNA, 380 nt
Filed under: uncultured bacterium
Lineage: Bacteria
Description: contains 16S-23S intergenic spacer region
Source: RNAcentral